UGCAAGAUCAGUCUUUCGACCUGAGUUCAUGAACAGGGUUGACGAGUACAUAGUUUUCCAGCCGUUGGAUCGCAAUCAGAUAAACAGUAUUGUCAGAUUACAGGUAAAUUUUCUUACCUUGAAGUUUGCUUGUCAUGGAUCAUUUAAUUCAGUUAAUUUAAUUUUCAUUCUGCUAGAAAUUGUUUGAGAUAAAACAUCAGCAGACAAUCUGAAAUCUGUUGACUGACCAAAUAUUUGUUAUAUCAUUUUGGAAAUUUGAUUUAUGUUGUAUCUUAUUUACUGGACUCACUUUGUAUCAUGAUUGAAAGGUUAACAAUUGGUUGGGUGUACUAGUUCUUUAUUUCUUUGUAUAGCCAAUUGAUUAAUUGCAACCAUAUCAAGGCUUCUGUAGAUUGUGUCAUGCAUAUGUUAGCAUACAUGUGAGCUUCGUUGGAUAUUCGACAACAUUAUAUGAAGGUUAUGGGACACAAAUUUUUGUUCUCUGAGAUGAUUGGUGUUUGAAUUUGGAUUUCGCUGGUGUUGUCCUCAGCGUGAGGUCAUUCUCUAUUUUGUAUUUUCAGAUUUUUACUUCAUGUUUAUGUGUGUAUUGCAGUUGGAACGUGUGCAGAAGAGGAUUGCAGAUCGGAAGAUGAAAAUACAGGUGACUGAGGCAGCUGUCGAGCUUUUAGG
Molecule: unclassified non-coding RNA, 669 nt
Filed under: Hevea brasiliensis (rubber tree)
Lineage: Eukaryota; Viridiplantae; Streptophyta; Magnoliopsida; Malpighiales; Euphorbiaceae
Source: RNAcentral